GAUGAACGCUGGCGGCGUGCCUAAUACAUGCAAGUCGAGCGAACGGACGAGGAGCUUGCUCCUUUGACGUUAGCGGCGGACGGGUGAGUAACACGUGGAUAACCUACCUAUAAGACUGGGAUAACUUCGGGAAACCGGAGCUAAUACCGGAUAACAUGUUGAACCGCAUGGUUCAACAGUGAAAGACGGUCUUGCUGUCACUUAUAGAUGGAUCCGCGCCGCAUUAGCUAGUUGGUAAGGUAACGGCUUACCAAGGCAACGAUGCGUAGCCGACCUGAGAGGGUGAUCGGCCACACUGGAACUGAGACACGGUCCAGACUCCUACGGGAGGCAGCAGUAGGGAAUCUUCCGCAAUGGGCGAAAGCCUGACGGAGCAACGCCGCGUGAGAGAAGAAGGUCUUCGGAUCGUAAAACUCUGUUAUUAGGGAAGAACAAAUGUGUAAGUAACUAUGCACGUCUUGACGGUACCUAAUCAGAAAGCCACGGCUAACUACGUG
RNAcentral lists this ribosomal RNA (497 nucleotides) under uncultured bacterium. RNAcentral's name for it is "partial 16S ribosomal RNA". It matches the Rfam family "Bacterial small subunit ribosomal RNA", at positions 28 to 507 of the family's 1533-position model. The record is from RNAcentral.